Macrobrachium nipponense is the source of this 304-nucleotide long non-coding RNA. RefSeq lists it as uncharacterized. NCBI's taxonomy places the organism in Eukaryota, Metazoa, Arthropoda, Malacostraca, Decapoda, Palaemonidae. The transcript is spliced from 3 exons. The record is from RefSeq and is a predicted model, not a curated record.
GGACGGUGGAAAAAAGUCAAGAAGGAGGCAAAGAACAAAGUGACGUGUCUUCAUGCUAUAUACAAAGAUUCUGGCGUGAUUCCUAAUAUUUGAUUGUUCAGGGGUGGAUAAUUUGCUGCCCUGACACGGAACGGCGGGACUCUGCUUGAGCAAGACUUACUUCUAAUACCCCCACAACUAUGAAAAAACCUUAACCGGAGAACUGAAGGCUAUUACCGAUUAUAAUCCUGUCCAGCAAAAGGUCCUCCAACAGGCGUGAAAGCCUGACCAAACCAGAUAAUGGAGAUGAGAAAAGUUACCACUG